This 266-nucleotide ribosomal RNA is filed under the name uncultured bacterium. RNAcentral describes it as "partial 16S ribosomal RNA". It matches the Rfam family "Bacterial small subunit ribosomal RNA", at positions 793 to 1055 of the family's 1533-position model. The record is from RNAcentral.
GUCCUAGCCGUAAACGAUGCAGACUAGGUGGAGGCAGGUUUUCCUGUCUCUGCCGCAGCUAACGCAUUAAGUCUGCCGCCUGGGGAGUACGGCCGCAAGGUUAAAACUCAAAGGAAUUGACGGGGGCUCGCACAAGCGGUGGAGCAUGUGGUUCAAUUCGAUGCAACGCGAAGAACCUUACCCGGGCUUGAAGUGAGGGUGGUAGAAACCGGAAACGGUAACGACCCCGCAAGGGGAGCCUUCAUCAGGUGUUGCAUGGCUGUCGU